GUGGAAAAUUUGCUAGCUUUUUAGCAGUUUGACACCACUGUGCUAGGCACUGACUAAUGAAGCUGCUAGCAUGUUUGAUUUUAAAGUGAAACGUAAAUGUGUUUUCCUAAUACCACUCUGAAUGUCUACUUAAUAAGAAAAUAAUAUGGUCUAAUAGUAAGACAGAAUUCAACAAAUAGGCAGAGAAAAUUUCCAAGUUCCCAGGCCAUAGACAGAAAUGACAGAAAGUAACGAUUUUCUGUUCCCAGCCUUUAAAGUGGUAUUCCCGCCUGCUGGCCUUCCUCUCUGCAUUGCUGGCUUUUCCUAAUUCAAACAUUGCACUCAGCAUCCCUGAUGUCCUUGCUGAGUUUCAUUUUUUCUCAGUGCCACUCUUAACCUUAAAGUUGAAGAAUGAGGGGAAGAUAGUGAGAUGGAGCUCAGAUCUGAGUCCCUUGACUCUGCACAGACAUGGAGCACGCAGAAGGGAGGGAGGAGAGAGAGGAGGUAGGAGGGCCUGAAUGAGGCCUAGAGAACCUAGAAACUCUUUCAGAAGCCAAAGGGGACCCUAGAACUAGUCCACCUGGAAUCUGUCCCAGGAACCCUCCCACUGGGAACCUUGGCAUCACUUCCCUCACGACAACCUGGAAGGCCAAAGAGGCACCAACCCACCACUGCCCAGCUCCUCACACAGACAGGAAGUCUAAGUGCAGCUCCUGAAUGAUCCUAGCCUAAGUGUAAGGCGGAGUUUAAAACCUCCUUCAAGUUAGGGAAGCCUCAGAACAAUCUGGUCAUUUACACUAUAGCUCCCAAUGUUUUUGUUUGAUCACAUUUUCACAGUUUAAUCUAUUUUGUGGUACAGUGUUAAAGAUACAUCUGGAGAAAUAAGCUUUGUUUUAUUUACCAUUGUAGAUAGCAGGGACCUACACUCAAAGGUGAUGCUUCUCCCAGCACUACUGGUCCUCUUUGAUUUACCUUAAAAGUUUAAACUUAACACAAAGACAGGAAGUUCAGGUAGAGGAUGCAUCACCUGUAUCUAAGGCUAUUUUUUAAUUGCUGGAGCAUCUCCCCACUGGGACAACAGGUCUCACACUGGAAGACUUUCGCAUGGCUCCCUGGUCCUCACCAUCCACUUCCCAUCCCUUAAGGACUCUGAAGGAAACUAAAAGGGAGGUGGGACUUUUCCCCAAUUGAACCUUUCUCAUCUGGGCAGAGAGCCAACCAGAUCUAAGUCUGAGGUUUCAUCCUCUCCCAUGAAGAAGACAGAAAAUGGUGCAAAAAGUUUAAAUUAAUGAUUUCUUCACCUACAUUCCAGCAGCGUUGUGCUCAAUCGAGGCAUCAGCACCAGCAUUCCACCACAUCUGGCUCCAGCAAGAUGCCUCAUGAAAUUCCCCAGCUAACCUCCUUAGUCCUGAAAGAGGACAGAGAGAUCUGUGCCCCUGCACUCUCUCUUCCUCUGAUCCUGCCAGCACAUGGUCCCUGGGUAAGAGCUAGCAUUUGGAUGGAAAAUAAUAACUGACAUUUUAUUGAGUUCCAACUGUGCAUCAAAAGCUGAAUUAGGCAUCUUCACAAUUAUUCCACAAGACAAACAUUAGCCCAUUUAAAGAUGAGAAAAGCUAAGACUCUGAGAGGGUUAGGACUUGCCAGAGUAACAAUAUGAAUAAAAGUGGCAAGGACAGAAUUUGAGCCAAAGGCCAUGUUUCUGACUAGACCUUACAAAUGUGAGGUUAAAAUUUUAAAAUACAUUAAUGACAACCUAAACACGGGGACCCAACCCCAUUUUAAAACCAAGUUCAAAAAAAUCCACUGUACAGUAAGACAGGACAUUCUGCAGUUAAUGCAAAAAUCCAGACCUCCUUGGGCCUUCCCAGCCAAGCAGACGGAGCAGAGUGGCAAUGCCACCUGUCCAUCUUAUCAGCACUUAGGAAAGUUUCACGGUCCAGCUGUGAGCUUUAAGGGACAGAAUUUUACAAGUAACAGAGCAAAUAUAAACUCCAAGACACUCAGCUGUAAGAACCUAUUUUAGAGGUGUGAAAGUUCUUAUAACACCUCAGAAUCCAAAAAUGUGCCUGACAAUGACCCAAGAUGCACAAAGCAACACGUAGUUCCGCAGACAGGGAUGUGUUCUUUAACCACCAUGAUGUUCAGAAGGAGCAACAGAGCUUUGUAUUUUACUUAACAUUCACAUACAGUAAUGUAGUCAAGAAAAAGUUUUCUGUUACCAAUUUUGAAAGUUGCUUAAAAUAGCUGACAGAAUGAGGUAACCCCAUACAUAGGGGGAAAUCAGGUACUUAAGUAAUUUGCAAGAAUUAUUUCUAUUUUUGUCAACAUUUU
RNAcentral lists this long non-coding RNA (2310 nucleotides) under Equus asinus (donkey). RNAcentral's name for it is "lncRNA (ENSEASG00005030409.1)". The record is from RNAcentral. Lineage: Eukaryota; Metazoa; Chordata; Mammalia; Perissodactyla; Equidae.